GCAAGGACGUCGUUCUUUGAAGCAAGUCACUUGUAUGACGUUGAAGAAGAGGGCACCCAGGGUGUUCGCCACUUCCGUAUUAAGAUUCUGCAGACAUCGACGGAACUUCGCGUCGCAGUCGCAAUGGGAUCGCGUGAACGGCGUCCUCUGCUGCGUGUUGACCCAGCUCGUCGUACGAUUUGGCCAAGGUACCUGGUCCACACCAUUUGGUUCCUGGAUAUAUCAGACCACCUCCUGGUGGUUGAUUCUAACAAGAAAAUUUAUCUCUUUUUUUUAUUUUUAAACUCGGUAGGCAAAAUUAUUGAAAUGAAUUCGUACUUUUCCUUUAUCGUAAGAGGCCUUGCAGGUCUUCUCGAGGUCAGUGACGAGUUUGCUGGACACUUGCAUCACCUUCCUGGGAUCAGCACCUAGGACCAUCUUCUGUAUGACCCCACGAUCGGUGUACAAGGCACAGAAUGGAGGCACUGCGUUCAGUUCCACCAUUCUGGACAUGGUGUUGUCCGCCACGAGAACGCUGGCCUCGGUUUCAUCCCCCCACAAGAUUGGUAUUAAUAGCAGAACCACGGCGAGCAUCUGUAAGGGAAGAUUCGAGUUCGAUGAGCUUACACUUUAAGGUCGCCUUAGUUUCUUCAAACGGAGCCGUACGUUUUCAUUAAACUGCGCUUGUUACUCGUUCCAGGAAGAAUUCAACUAGCUAAAUAGCACGAGUUUCUAAAAGAAACCUUUGCGGGACAUAACCAUGAACGAUGGCGAUAAAUUAGCCACAGCUUUCAGCUUGGUUUCAUCGUGUCUUUCAUAGAGCAGUAUGACGUGGACUUGCGAAGUAUAAAAAGGAAGGCGACAAUGACGAACAAAGCAGCAUAUGAAAACCGUUGACCUAUGAUAAAAAAAAAAAA
Non-coding RNA from Osmia lignaria (orchard mason bee), 896 nucleotides. Lineage: Eukaryota; Metazoa; Arthropoda; Insecta; Hymenoptera; Megachilidae. The record is from RefSeq and is a predicted model, not a curated record.